This 45-nucleotide ribosomal RNA is filed under the name Scirpus pallidus. Its description in RNAcentral is "partial 26S ribosomal RNA". The record is from RNAcentral. Lineage: Eukaryota; Viridiplantae; Streptophyta; Magnoliopsida; Poales; Cyperaceae.
GAUACCCCAGGUCAGGGGGGGCUACCCGUCCAGUUUAAGCAUAUC